RNAcentral lists this ribosomal RNA (429 nucleotides) under Acidobacteriota bacterium. Its description in RNAcentral is "Acidobacteria bacterium partial 16S ribosomal RNA". It matches the Rfam family "Bacterial small subunit ribosomal RNA", at positions 355 to 776 of the family's 1533-position model. The record is from RNAcentral. Lineage: Bacteria; Pseudomonadati; Acidobacteriota.
UGGGGAAUUUUGGACAAUGGGGGAAACCCUGAUCCAGCCAUCCCGCGUGUGCGAUGAAGGCCUUCGGGUUGUAAAGCACUUUUGGCAGGAAAGAAACGUCAUGGGUUAAUACCCCGUGAAACUGACGGUACCUGCAGAAUAAGCACCGGCUAACUACGUGCCAGCAGCCGCGGUAAUACGUAGGGUGCAAGCGUUAAUCGGAAUUACUGGGCGUAAAGCGUGCGCAGGCGGUUCGGAAAGAAAGAUGUGAAAUCCCAGAGCUCAACUUUGGAACUGCAUUUUUAACUACCGGGCUAGAGUGUGUCAGAGGGAGGUGGAAUUCCGCGUGUAGCAGUGAAAUGCGUAGAUAUGCGGAGGAACACCGAUGGCGAAGGCAGCCUCCUGGGAUAAAACUGACGCUCAUGCACGAAAGCGUGGGGAGCAAACAGG